CCGGCGCACGGGUGAGUAACACGUAUCCAACCUGCCGUCUACUCUUGGACAGCCUUCUGAAAGGAAGAUUAAUACAAGAUGGCAUCAUGAGUCCGCAUGUUCACAUGAUUAAAGGUGUUCCGGUAGACGAUGGGGAUGCGUUCCAUUAGAUAGUAGGCGGGGUAACGGCCCACCAAACCUUCGAUGGAUAGGGGUUCUGAGAGGAAGGUCCCCCACAUUGGAACUGAGACACGGUCCAA
RNAcentral lists this ribosomal RNA (239 nucleotides) under uncultured bacterium. Its description in RNAcentral is "partial 16S ribosomal RNA". It matches the Rfam family "Bacterial small subunit ribosomal RNA", at positions 95 to 334 of the family's 1533-position model. The record is from RNAcentral.